Molecule: ribosomal RNA, 547 nt
Filed under: uncultured bacterium
Lineage: Bacteria
Description: bacterial SSU rRNA
Rfam family: Bacterial small subunit ribosomal RNA
Source: RNAcentral
ACCAAGACUGUGAUCGAUAGCCGGCCUGAGAGGGCACACGGCCACACUGGCACUGAAACACGGGCCAGACUCCUACGGGAGGCAGCAGUGGGGAAUCUUGCACAAUGGGGGAAACCCUGAUGCAGCGACGCCGCGUGAGCGAUGAAGCCCUUCGGGGUGUAAAGCUCUUUCGGCAGGGAAGAUUAUGACGGUACCUGCAGAAGCAGCUGCGGCUAACUACGUGCCAGCAGCCGCGGUAAUACGUAGGCAGCAAGCGUUGUUCGGAGUUACUGGGCGUAAAGGGUGCGUAGGCGGCUUUUUAAGUUUGGUGUGAAAUCUCCCGGCUCAACUGGGAGGGUGCGCCGAAUACUGAGAGGCUAGAGUGCGGGAGAGGAAAGUGGAAUUCCUGGUGUAGCGGUGAAAUGCGUAGAUAUCAGGAGGAACACCGGUGGUGUAAACGGCUUUCUGGACCGUAACUGACGCUGAGGCACGAAAGCGUGGGUAGCAAACAGGAUUAGAUACCCUGGUAGUCCACGCCCUAAACGAUGCAUAUUUGGUGUGGGCCAUU